UAAUUCAACAUGCAACAGAUAAACCCUAAUUAGGCUCUUCGCCUCUUCCCAUCCCUUUAAAUCAAUCAAGUAUCAUGCAUAUCUCUUCCGUUCUGGUUCUGCUGCUUCCGGGCUCCAGGUCUGCAACAAGAACCAGAUAACAGUAGUUAAUUGCUGCUGCCAUUUUCUUGGAUUAAUGUUUAAAGUGAAUAUGAAGUGUGGAUGUAUCAACCAACAAACCUGAAUCCUGCCAUCAGAGCAGCCAACAAAGAUCAUCUCUCCAUCUUUAUCUGGUGUUAAUGAUGUGAUUCUUGUGUUCCCACUGCUUUUCAAUUUGAGGGAGGCAAUCUUUGUUGCUCUCUCCUUUUGCCAAACCUCAAUGGUUCCACAUUUCAUGGCCAAGAAUAUGAAAUCAGUGUUGACCAUUACCUGCUGUAUGUCAGAGUUGGAUGGGAAUAAUCCUAUGACUGCCUUGCUGGGGAGGGAGAAGAUCUUCAUAUGCACAUUGGUAUUUGGUAGAGACAAUCAGGAGCCUUAGUAUCCAUGAACUGGUUACGAGUUUUAAGCUGAAAAAAAAACUUGAAAUUUGCUCAUACCUUUCCUGCAAUUCCAUCAACUGAGGAACCUCCAGCGAUCAAAACAUCCUUGUGAAUCUCGAGGGAUAGUAUAGUUUGUUUGCCUAACAAUUUUUUGGUCCCAGUGUAAAAUGUUGUUGUUGUGUAAGUGCUUAAAUCAACUUCCUGUCAUUAUUGCUGAAUUUUAGACAUUCAUUGAAACUUCACUGGUACUUAGACCAAACUAUGCAGUCUAGAAUACCUGGAUGCUGUACCCUGUGCAUCCACAAUAAAGCUUAUCGCCUGCCAAGGCAAGACACUUAACAUAUUUGUUGAAAUUUACAUGCUUUGGAGAUCCAGACCAAUUAUAAA
Ipomoea triloba (trilobed morning glory) is the source of this 905-nucleotide long non-coding RNA. RefSeq lists it as uncharacterized. The transcript has 2 exons. The record is from RefSeq and is a predicted model, not a curated record. NCBI's taxonomy places the organism in Eukaryota, Viridiplantae, Streptophyta, Magnoliopsida, Solanales, Convolvulaceae.